GUCCACGCCGUAAACGAUGUCGACUUGGAGGUUGUUCCCUUGAGGAGUGGCUUCCGGAGCUAACGCGUUAAGUCGACCGCCUGGGGAGUACGACCGCAAGGUUAAAACUCAAAUGAAUUGACGGGGGCCCGCACAAGCGGUGGAGCAUGUGGUUUAAUUCGAUGCAACGCGAAGAACCUUACCUACUCUUGACAUCCAGAGAACUUAGCAGAGAUGCUUUGGUGCCUUCGGGAACUCUGAGACAGGUGCUGCAUGGCU
This 258-nucleotide ribosomal RNA is filed under the name uncultured bacterium. RNAcentral describes it as "partial 16S ribosomal RNA". It matches the Rfam family "Bacterial small subunit ribosomal RNA", at positions 793 to 1050 of the family's 1533-position model. The record is from RNAcentral.